AUUGAACGCUGGCGGCAGGCCUAACACAUGCAAGUCGGACGGUAGCACAGAGAGCUUGCUCUCGGGUGACGAGUGGCGGACGGGUGAGUAAUGUCUGGGGAUCUGCCCGAUAGAGGGGGAUAACCACUGGAAACGGUGGCUAAUACCGCAUAACGUCGCAAGACCAAAGAGGGGGACCUUCGGGCCUCUCACUAUCGGAUGAACCCAGAUGGGAUUAGCUAGUAGGCGGGGUAAUGGCCCACCUAGGCGACGAUCCCUAGCUGGUCUGAGAGGAUGACCAGCCACACUGGAACUGAGACGCGGUCCAGACUCCUACGGGAGGCAGCAGUGGGGAGUAUUGCACAAUGGGCGCAAGCCUGAUGCAGCCAUGCCGCGUGUAUGAAGAAGGCCUUCGGGUUGUAAAGUACUUUCAGCGGGGAGGAAGGCGGUGCGGUUAAUAACCGCGCCGAUUGACGUUACCCGCAGAAGAAGCACCGGCUAACUCCGUGCCAGCCGCCGCGGUAA
RNAcentral lists this ribosomal RNA (504 nucleotides) under uncultured bacterium. RNAcentral describes it as "partial 16S ribosomal RNA". It matches the Rfam family "Bacterial small subunit ribosomal RNA", at positions 29 to 523 of the family's 1533-position model. The record is from RNAcentral.